GCGAUGAACUAUGCUGCCGCGUCAUAGCCGGUUUAACCGUAUAUGAUGAGGAAAGUCCGGGCUCCGCAGGGCAUGAUGCCGGGUAAUCCCCGGGCGGGAGCUUGCAAAAGUUUCCGACAGAAAGCGCAACAGAAAGUAAACCGCUAUAAUGUCUUGUUUAGAGGCAUUCAGUAAGGGUGAAAGGGUGGGGUAAGAGCCCACCGCGGGAUCGGUAACGAUUCCGGCACGGCAAGCCUCAUCAGGAGCAAAGUCAAACAGCGGCAGAACGGCCCGUUUUACGCCGUGGGUAGACUGCGUAGAUAGGACCCGAGAGGAUGCUACGAGAUAGAUGGCAGCCAGUAUGUGCUGCUUGCAGCAGGUACAGCACAGAACCCGGCUUAUGGUUCAUCGCUUUU
RNAcentral lists this RNase P RNA (395 nucleotides) under Treponema sp. RNAcentral describes it as "RNase P RNA component class A". It matches the Rfam family "Bacterial RNase P class A". From Rfam's summary of the family: Ribonuclease P (RNase P) is a ubiquitous endoribonuclease, found in archaea, bacteria and eukarya as well as chloroplasts and mitochondria. The record is from RNAcentral. Lineage: Bacteria; Pseudomonadati; Spirochaetota; Spirochaetia; Treponematales; Treponemataceae.